This is a long non-coding RNA of Drosophila santomea, 4210 nucleotides long. RefSeq lists it as uncharacterized. The record is from RefSeq and is a predicted model, not a curated record. Lineage: Eukaryota; Metazoa; Arthropoda; Insecta; Diptera; Drosophilidae. The transcript is spliced from 3 exons.
CUCACGCCCACAAACCGCCAAAAACUGUCAGUGUUGAAGACUCUCCUUCGCACUUCCACUAGCUGUGUAACGGGUAUCAGAUAGCCGGGGAACUCCACUAUAGCGUUCUCUCUUGUUUGAUUUGCAUGUGCUGCACGACAGUGUUACUUGCCAUGGUGGUUUGGGAGGACGAAAUAUAUAUAACAUUAUAGCACUUGACAUCUGUCACUCAAACAAUAUGGCCGCAAUGAGCUAUCAAAGUUCGAGCGUCCCUAUUGUAUAACCGUUUACGUUCGUAAAUUCGUUCCAAAUUGCAUAACAUGUAGUUCUGUGAAAUCACCUUCUGGAAAAGUUCAAGCGGAACUGCAUUCAAAGACAAGUAUACCGUGGCAUACGAUUCAUAUCGAUACAACGGGAAAAUUGAGCGGCUAGAGCGAUUUGAAAAAAUAGACACCGAAAGUUGUGUUAGUGCUGUGUAAUCUUCCCUAUCCUUGUUUGUUGUGCAAAUCUUAUGAUCGCCGAUCAGGAAAAAUGUUUCACCAGCUUUGCUACAGGAGCAAGUCGUGCAAAUGGGCAGGUCGAACGACUGAUGAGUACGGUAAAAAAAUUUGUUGUCAGUGAUAGAAUCGAGUCAACGAUCAUGGCAGGACGCUCUUGGCUAAGUUCAACUGGCACUGUGCUGUACCAUUUGUCGUGCCACUGAGGCAAGACCCCUUGGAUUAGUUCCCCCUUGUGAGAUUGAAUGCGAAAUAGAAUUGGCAAGCAUUGGAGCUCAUGCUACAAAAAAUAUGAAUUCCUUAGCGUCAUCAGUAAGGCAGCUGUUGUUAAGCACCUCGUAGGUGACUAUGUGUUAUUGAAAAAAGAUAAGAGUCACCAAACCAAAUUGGAUCCGAAAUUCAGAGGACCGUUUUUGGUAGUAUUUGAAGUAUACGCUGCAGUCAUUGAGAGGUAUCCGAACGUUCAAGUAUUGUCUUGAGAAUAUAAGAAAAAUGGCAAAUGUCAAAAUUCCAAACAAAUUGAAUAACGAAAAUAGAGAGAAACGCCCGCUAAUGAGUUCAGUUGCGUCCAAAAGUGACGAUGACCUGUGAGUUAUCCGUCGAGAUGAGACAAUGAGUGACUAUUGAAGAAUUAUCCGUCCAGGGGAAACGACGACAUAGAGUUAUUCGUCUAGGUAAGAGGAUGAGUAUGAUUUAAAUAAAUGAUUAACAAUGUGAUAACUGGCGGACGAUCAAUAUGUGGCUUAUAAUAAUAGGCAUUACUAAAACAAGUUGUUCAUUAAAGAAGGAGAAUAUGAAAAUGUAAUAAGUUAUUUCAGCAACAAUGAACCAGAUGCUGUUUUUAUUUGAAACACAAAAUGUAUGGAAUAGACCUAAUAAGUAAAAGUAAGAAUGAAAUGAAUUAAAAGUGACCGAAUUUUUACGAAAAUGUGUUAUCUCUGUAUGUGUUAUCUCAGUAUUGAAAUGUAAAUGUCAGAAUGGCCGUGUCGGGGCGAAAUUAAUGGGCAUGCACAUAGGCGUUAUUUGCUUCUUAUUCCGUUUGUGGCAAAGUAACUUGUGUUCCAGACUGUACUGUUUUUUCUUCUCCUUGUGUCAAUGUAUGUAUGGGAGUAAAACGACAAAUUAUCUGAGAAUGGGAAUAAAUGUGUUAUAGCGAGACCGAUAGAGGCUUGAGGACAGAGCGUCAAUUUAUAUUUAGAAGCCAAAGCAGAAAAGUGAACUCGUUGAUGCGCGCAGCCUUACAAAAUCGAUCCACUAUGGAAGAACCAAUGGACAACAAUACUCCAAAUCCUGACGACCCGAUAUAUACAUGUAUACAUGUCGGAGAAUUAUUUUGUAUUUCUAGACUUAAUUGUAGGAAGUUUCUUAGUGUAAUCAAGUAUGAAAAUAAAGAAAGAUCAAGGAUAAAGGAAGAAGAAAAGGACUGGAAAAGAGCUUUUCCAUGAGAGAGUGUGGCACAAUGUAAGAAAAAAAAAGAUAUUUAAAAUAUAGUAAUGCAGUUCGAGAACUCCGUCGAGAACAGUAGAACUACUUCAAAGAAAUAAAUAAUUGCGGAUCUACAUGGUCUUUCUUCUCCAACAUUCAUAUAUAAACAUAUACAUAUAUAGACAAGUAUACAUAUAUAACCAUAUAUCUGGAGUUUUAUUAUAAAUACUUUUAACUUUAUUAGUAUUUAAAGAUCCAUUAAUGAAGAACACCGUCGCCUUUAUUGACGUAUUGUCGCUCUUGCAGCCACACUGGCAGAACGCAAAACUUCCUUCCUCAACUAGCUUUAGGUCACUACCAAAUAGAUAUUAGGUCGUCAACAUCAUAUUGUCUGUACAUAUAUUGCACAUAUUCUUGCUCUCGUUCUACGGGUUCAUUAUCGGACUCUUCGGCUUCAUUCGUAACUCACUGCGUUCUUCGUUGAAAACUGCUACAGCCGCUUUGUCUAUCAAGUCUCGUACCUGUAGAUCAUCUUUCGUUCGCAUUUUGACACCAACUAGUAGCUCAAAAGGCGUCAUAUUUAUGAUUCUGGUAAAUGUUGUGUUGAUCGCUUGCUGUAAUCUGUUGAAUUAUAUAUCCUGAAUUAAAAAUCCUGUCCGUUAACCCUUGUUGCGUCAGUAGUCGUCUUCACUAGCUUUAUUCACUCGCCGUCGCAAUUUUUAACAAAGUUUUGAUAUGUAAAUGCCGGACUCCAUUCGUUAUAAUGAAUGCUAAGUUGCCAAUGCUGACACUUUGGUUUCUGACCUCGUUUGCUGUGGUUAACUUCGUUGGAUAGAGCCACCCAAGUUUCGUAAAGGAAUCGAUUACAGCCAAACAGCGUUGACUUGAGCGGACCCAAGAAGUAAAUGUGGUAUGUUAAAAAUGGAACGUCUUCUUUCUGGAAUGGGUGGUGUAGUAGAUUGCUUGCUUCAUUUGCGAUCCGUUAAAAUGCAUAGAAUACAGCACUCAAUAUACUUUUAUUAGGCACUACUAUUAGCUCAUCGUCACCGGAGACCGGCAUUGCCAACAAUCAAGCAUCGUUGACACCUAGCUGACACUGAUGAAAGAUGAACGGUUGAGCGAGACGGUGGGCCAACGGCAGGACUACUAAUUAUUCUAAACGAUAAUAGUAAUGAAUUGAUUUCAACCGAAAAGUGUGUUAUGUCACUGAAGAAGCGGGUUAUUACAUACAGCAUACCUGUUUUUAAUCAUCGUAUGCAUUUUUUCAUUGCUUAAAAAUUCUUUGAUGGCUCUAAUCUUUCCGCCGCCUGCAUGCGUAUCUUUCAUGCGUAUAUUUUCCCUUAUAAGCAUCACUGGAUAUCGGCUGAGAGCAUCGACAUAUUUCAUUCGCAUGCCAGAUUAAUGUAUAGUUAUAGUUUUAUUUUUGUAGAAAACGAAUGCAGCGAGCCACCCUGUUGCAUAAGCUUUGUUUUUCUAAAGUUUUAGUGAAAGCGUUGCAGUCAAUACAGCCUAACCAAUACUAAACUUAGUCAAAGCUUCGAUGACUGCCAAUAAUUCUAGCUUAUAGCUACAGUAUUUACGCUCUGCAUCUGUGGUCUUUUUCUUUACAUAAAAUACACAGAAUGCAGUUGAACAUCGUCGACGUUCAUCUGUAAUAAAAACUGAUCCGAAUCCAACAAUAGUCUCAUUAUAAAUACUGAAAACAGGGUUCUUAGUUAGAACUUUUUCAACUUCUUUAACUGCAUUCUCUUCGUCUAAAUCAAAUUUAAACUUAGCCUUAUUUUGUAAACUCAGUUAAAGGUGAAUCUAUCCCUCCGUAAUUUGGUAUAAACUUCCAGAAAUAGCCCGUCAAGCCCAAAAAACUGUUUAAUGUCUAAAAAAUUUUAAUAGUUUGGGGUACUAGAACUUGGAAACAGCUUCGAUUAUCUCAGAUGAGUGGUAUAUUCAGCUAUUUUUUAUAACUUUGUAUCCUUAGUAAGGACUCAGGCCGAGGGAGGGGCAUCCGACGUUCGGACACCACCGUAAGCUUGUCGAUUUUGGGUCGUGGGGUCUUGGAAAGCCCCUAACCUCUCCAACAUAACGAGAAUAAAUAUAUUAGUGCCUGUAAAAGUUCGAACCGUUCGUCAGUCAGCAGUCUUUACUGCCCCACAAGCUGUAGCUUGAUCGUAAAUCGAUCGGGCAACGUUUCGGCCACAUUCCCUGCUCUUCAUGCGUCCGCAUGCCUGAUAGAACGAUCCCCUUUCUGUCAUGGCUAGUGCCAUGUGUACUGUGUAAUACAAAAAUUAGAGGCUAACAUACAAAGAUUAUAA